Molecule: ribosomal RNA, 854 nt
Filed under: Microhyla heymonsi (Taiwan rice frog)
Lineage: Eukaryota; Metazoa; Chordata; Amphibia; Anura; Microhylidae
Description: partial large subunit ribosomal RNA
Rfam family: Bacterial large subunit ribosomal RNA
Source: RNAcentral
AGCAGCCACCUUUAAAAAAGCGUUAAAGCUUCAUUACAUUUUAUAAAAAUUUCACUAAUUUUCUAAAACCCUUAACCUGUACUGAAUGAUCUUAUGACUUCAUAAGAACCUAUAUGUUAGAACUAGUAACAAGAAGAAGCCCUUCUCCAAAAUGUAAGCAUGAGCCAAAAUGAACUAUUCAUUGGCAUUUAAAGUUAAUAAUCUCUUAGUAGUAACUAUUCAAGAAAAACCUACUAUAUUUAACGUCAACCUUACACCAGCACAUUUCUGGAAAGAUCAAAAAACUAGGAAGGAACUCGGCAAACAAAUAACCCCGCCUGUUUACCAAAAACAUCGCCUCCUGAUUUUUAUAGGAGGUCUAGCCUGCCCAGUGACAAAGUUAAACGGCCGCGGUACCCUAACCGUGCAAAGGUAGCGCAAUCACUUGUUCUUUAAAUGAGGACUAGUAUGAACGGCAUCACGAGGGUUAUGCUGUCUCCCUACUUUAUUCAGUGAAACUGAUCUCCCCGUGAAGAGGCGGGGAUAAAAAUAUAAGACGAGAAGACCCCAUGGAGCUUUAAACUCAGUAUCAACUGCCAUAUUUAAAACCUAAUAUUCAAGCAAUUUAUGAUUACUAGUUUUCGGUUGGGGUGACCACGGAGUAAAACUUAACCUCCACGAUGAAAGGAAAUAAUAACCUAAAUUAAGAGCUACAGCUCUAAAUAUCAAUAAAUUGACUUAUUGAUCCAAUUAAUUGAUCAACGAACCAAGUUACCCUGGGGAUAACAGCGCAAUCCAUUUCAAGAGCUCUUAUCGACAAAUGGGUUUACGACCUCGAUGUUGGAUCAGGGUAUCCCAGUGGCGCAGCCGCUACU